UACCGGAUGUGCCCUUCGGGGGAAAGAUUUAUCGCCAUUGGAGCGGCCCGCGUCUGAUUUGCCCGUGGGUGGGGUAAAGGCCCACCAAGGCGACGAUCAGUAGCUGGUCUGAGAGGAUGAUCAGCCACAUUGGGACUGAGACACGGCCCAAACUCCUACGGGAGGCAGCAGUGGGGAAUCUUGCGCAAUGGGCGAAAGCCUGACGCAGCCAUGCCGCGUGAAUGAUGAAGGUCUUAGGAUUGUAAAAUUCUUUCACCGGGGACGAUAAUGACGGUACCCGGAGAAGAAGCCCCGGCUAACUUCGUGCCAGCAGCCGCGGUAAUACGAAGGGGGCUAGCGUUGCUCGGAAUUACUGGGCGUAAAGGGAGCGUAGGCGGACUGUUUAGUCAGAGGUGAAAGCCCAGGGCUCAACCUUGGAAUUGCCUUUGAUACUGGCAGUCUUGAGUACGGAAGAGGUAUGUGGAACUCCGAGUGUAGAGGUGAAAUUCGUAGAUAUUCGGAAGAACACCAGUGGCGAAGGCGACAUACUGGUCCGUUACUGACGCUGAGGCUCGAAAGCGUGGGGAGCAAACAGGAUUAGAUACCCUGGUAGUCCACGCCGUAAACGAUGAGUGCUAGUUGUCGGCAUGCAUGCAUGUCGGUGACGCAGC
RNAcentral lists this ribosomal RNA (650 nucleotides) under uncultured bacterium. Its description in RNAcentral is "bacterial SSU rRNA". It matches the Rfam family "Bacterial small subunit ribosomal RNA", at positions 167 to 852 of the family's 1533-position model. The record is from RNAcentral.